RNAcentral lists this ribosomal RNA (1514 nucleotides) under metagenome. RNAcentral's name for it is "bacterial SSU rRNA". It matches the Rfam family "Bacterial small subunit ribosomal RNA". The record is from RNAcentral.
AGAGUUUGAUUCUGGCUCAGAACGAACGCUGGCGGCGUGGAUAAGACAUGCAAGUCGAACGGGACAUUGUUUGUAGCAAUACACGCAAUGUCUAGUGGCGUAAGGGUGCGUAACACGUGGGCAAUCUGCCGAGAUGUGGGGGAUAGCUCGCCGAAAGGCGAAUUAAUACCGCAUGUGGUUAGUGUUGGACUCAACACAAUACCAAAGCCGGGGCAACCUGGCGCAUCUUGAUGAGCCCGCGGCCUAUCAGCUAGUUGGUGAGGUAAUGGCUCACCAAGGCUAUGACGGGUAGCUGGUCUGAGAGGACGACCAGCCACACUGGAACUGAGACACGGUCCAGACACCUACGGGUGGCAGCAGUCGAGAAUUUUUCUCAAUGGGCGAAAGCCUGAAGGAGCGACGCCGCGUGGAGGAUGAAGGUCUUCGGAUUGUAAACUCCUGUCAUUAGGGAACAAAACUUACGGUUAACUGCCGUGGAGUCUGAUAGUACCUGAAGAGGAAGAGACGGCUAACUCUGUGCCAGCAGCCGCGGUAAUACAGAGGUCUCAAGCGUUGUUCGGAUUCAUUGGGCGUAAAGGGUGCGUAGGCGGCGGGGUAAGUCGGAUGUGAAAUCCCAGGGCUCAACCCUGGAACUGCAUUCGAUACUGCCUUGCUAGAGUACUGGAGAGGAGACUGGAAUUUACGGUUAGCAGUGAAAUGCGUAGAUAUCGUAAGGAAGACCAGUGGCGAAGGCGAGUCCCUGGACAGUUACUGACGCUGAGGCACGAAGGCCAGGGGAGCAAACGGGAUUAGAUACCCCGGUAGUCCUGGCAGUAAACGGUGCACGUUUGGUGUGGGAGGAUUCGACCCCUUCCGUGCCGGAGCUAACGCGUUAAACGUGCCGCCUGGGGAGUACGGUCGCAAGAUUAAAACUCAAAGAAAUUGACGGGGGCCCGCACAAGCGGUGGAGUAUGUGGCUUAAUUCGAUCCACGCGAAGAACCUUACCUAGCCUUGACAUGCAUCUCUAAGUCGGUGAAAGCCGGCGACUAUAGCAAUAUAGAAUUUGCACAGGUGCUGCAUGGCUGUCGUCAGCUCGUGUCGUGAGAUGUUGGGUUAAGUCCCGCAACGAGCGCAACCCCUGUGAACUGUUGCCACCGGCCUUCGGGCCGAGCACUCUGUUCAGACUGCCCUGUGAAACGGGGAGGAAGGUGGGGAUGACGUCAAGUCAGCAUGGCCCUUACGGCUAGGGCUGCACACGUACUACAAUGCUCAGCACAGAAUGAACCGAUACCGCGAGGUGGAGGAAAUCUCUAAAACUGAGCCCAAUUCGGAUUGAAGGCUGCAACUCGCCUUCAUGAAGCCGGAAUCGCUAGUAAUGGCGCAUCAGCUACGGCGCCGUGAAUACGUUCCCGGGCCUUGUACACACCGCCCGUCACAUCAUGGAAGUUACUUGUACCCGAAGUGCAUGCGCCAACCGCAAGGAGGCAGUGCCCUAAGGUAUGAGUGGUAACUGGGAUGAAGUCGGAACAAGGUA